AUGAUUUGUGGGAUGCCAGUCAUUUCUUCCAUGUCUGGAUGCCUUCUUCUUCAAGACUCAGAUUCUUCCACAUCUCUAGAAGGAAGAGUCCAAGUUUCCAUAACUGAUGGGACAGAUAUGCCAUUGGACCCACUAAAUACAGAGAACUGGUGUGAAGGAAUGAGAACAACAAAGCAUAAAAGAAGAGAAGACCAGAGAAGUGGAGACCUGGGGUCCCAGAGAUGGAGAGGGAAUUCCCGGAGGCCGCAGAAAACUUGA
RNAcentral lists this long non-coding RNA (258 nucleotides) under Capra hircus (goat). RNAcentral describes it as "lncRNA (ENSCHIG00000005389.1)". The record is from RNAcentral. Lineage: Eukaryota; Metazoa; Chordata; Mammalia; Artiodactyla; Bovidae.